GAUGAACGCUAGCUACAGGCUUAACACAUGCAAGUCGAGGGGUAACAAGAGAAAUGCUUGCUUUUCUUGUUGACGACCGGCGCACGGGUGAGUAACGCGUAUCCAACCUGCCUAUAACUAGGGAAUAACCUUGCGAAAGUAAGACUAAUACCCUAUGAUUUCCUUUGAUGACAUCAGAUUAGGAAUAAAGAUUUAUCGGUUAUAGAUGGGGAUGCGUCUGAUUAGCUUGUUGGCGGGGUAACGGCCAACCAAUACAACGAUCAGUAGGGGUUCUUGGAGGAAGUGCCCCCACGUUGUAACAAGGACACGUGCCAAACUCGUACGGAGGGCAGCAGUGAGGAAUAUUGGUCAAUGGGCGUAAUCCUGAACCAGCCAAGGAGCGUGCAGGAUGACGGCCCUAUGGGUUGUAAACUACUUUUAUACAGGAAUAAAGUUAGCCACUUGUGUUAUUUGUAGGUACUGUAUGAAUAAGGACUGGCUAAUUCCGUGCCAGCAGCCGCCGUAA
RNAcentral lists this ribosomal RNA (505 nucleotides) under uncultured bacterium. RNAcentral describes it as "partial 16S ribosomal RNA". It matches the Rfam family "Bacterial small subunit ribosomal RNA", at positions 28 to 523 of the family's 1533-position model. The record is from RNAcentral.